Drosophila suzukii is the source of this 251-nucleotide non-coding RNA. NCBI's taxonomy places the organism in Eukaryota, Metazoa, Arthropoda, Insecta, Diptera, Drosophilidae. The record is from RefSeq and is a predicted model, not a curated record.
UUGUAUUUCCGGGAAUAAUCUCGAGGGCAGAAUAUUAUGGCCAACUUUGGACUCUUCGUACACUUUAUUGCCAUCGCAAUGCUAGCACUUGCGCCUCCUCCUUAUGAUGGUUGUCCAGGUGGUUGCAGUACCUGGACAAAAAUUGGUAAAUAAAUACCAAAGAAUAGGCAUAUGUUUUAAUUUUGUUGGUUAAAAUGUUAAGCUUAUUUUACUAAUAAACUCAAGAACUUUUGUAUGGUAUUUAAAAAGUA